GACGGAGGGGGCAAGCGUUGUCCGGACUCACUGGGCGUAAAGCGCGCGUAGGUGGGGCGAUGCGUCGGCGCUGAAAGCGCCCGGCUUAACCGGGCGACGGGCGACGAUACGAUCGCACUGGAGGCAGGGAGACGUUGGUGGAAUUCCGGGUGUAGUGGUGAAAUGCGUAGAGAUCCGGAGGAAUGCCGGUGGCGUAAGCGGCCAACGAGUCCUGACAUGACACUGAGGCACGAAAGCGUGGGGAGCAAACCGG
Molecule: ribosomal RNA, 253 nt
Filed under: uncultured bacterium
Lineage: Bacteria
Description: partial 16S ribosomal RNA
Rfam family: Bacterial small subunit ribosomal RNA
Source: RNAcentral